AGAGUUUGAUCCUGGCUCAGAACGAACGCUGGCGGCAUGCCUAACACAUGCAAGUCGAACGAGACCUUCGGGUCUAGUGGCGCACGGGUGCGUAACGCGUGGGAAUCUGCCCUUCGGUUCGGAACAACAGUUAGAAAUGACUGCUAAUACCGGAUAAUGACGUAAGUCCAAAGAUUUAUCGCCGAAGGAUGAGCCCGCGUAAGAUUAGGUAGUUGGUGGGGUAAUGGCCUACCAAGCCGACGAUCUUUAGCUGGUCUGAGAGGAUGAUCAGCCACGCUGGGACUGAGACACGGCCCAGACUCCUACGGGAGGCAGCAGUGGGGAAUAUUGGACAAUGGGCGAAAGCCUGAUCCAGCAAUGCCGCGUGAGUGAUGAAGGCCUUAGGGUUGUAAAGCUCUUUACCAGGGAUGAUAAUGACAGUACCUGGAGAAUAAGCUCCGGCUAACUCCGUG
RNAcentral lists this ribosomal RNA (452 nucleotides) under uncultured bacterium. Its description in RNAcentral is "bacterial SSU rRNA". It matches the Rfam family "Bacterial small subunit ribosomal RNA", at positions 8 to 507 of the family's 1533-position model. The record is from RNAcentral.